This 945-nucleotide ribosomal RNA is filed under the name Mycobacterium intracellulare. RNAcentral's name for it is "bacterial SSU rRNA". It matches the Rfam family "Bacterial small subunit ribosomal RNA", at positions 70 to 1019 of the family's 1533-position model. The record is from RNAcentral. Lineage: Bacteria; Bacillati; Actinomycetota; Actinomycetes; Mycobacteriales; Mycobacteriaceae.
AAAGGCCCCUUCGGGGGUACUCGAGUGGCGAACGGGUGAGUAACACGUGGGCAAUCUGCCCUGCACUUCGGGAUAAGCCUGGGAAACUGGGUCUAAUACCGGAUAGGACCUUUAGGCGCAUGUCUUUAGGUGGAAAGCUUUUGCGGUGUGGGAUGGGCCCGCGGCCUAUCAGCUUGUUGGUGGGGUGAUGGCCUACCAAGGCGACGACGGGUAGCCGGCCUGAGAGGGUGUCCGGCCACACUGGGACUGAGAUACGGCCCAGACUCCUACGGGAGGCAGCAGUGGGGAAUAUUGCACAAUGGGCGCAAGCCUGAUGCAGCGACGCCGCGUGGGGGAUGACGGCCUUCGGGUUGUAAACCUCUUUCACCAUCGACGAAGGUCCGGGUUUUCUCGGAUUGACGGUAGGUGGAGAAGAAGCACCGGCCAACUACGUGCCAGCAGCCGCGGUAAUACGUAGGGUGCGAGCGUUGUCCGGAAUUACUGGGCGUAAAGAGCUCGUAGGUGGUUUGUCGCGUUGUUCGUGAAAUCUCACGGCUUAACUGUGAGCGUGCGGGCGAUACGGGCAGACUAGAGUACUGCAGGGGAGACUGGAAUUCCUGGUGUAGCGGUGGAAUGCGCAGAUAUCAGGAGGAACACCGGUGGCGAAGGCGGGUCUCUGGGCAGUAACUGACGCUGAGGAGCGAAAGCGUGGGGAGCGAACAGGAUUAGAUACCCUGGUAGUCCACGCCGUAAACGGUGGGUACUAGGUGUGGGUUUCCUUCCUUGGGAUCCGUGCCGUAGCUAACGCAUUAAGUACCCCGCCUGGGGAGUACGGCCGCAAGGCUAAAACUCAAGGAAUUGACGGGGGCCCGCACAAGCGGCGGAGCAUGUGGAUAAUUCGAUGCAACGCGAGAACCUUACCUGGGUUUGACAUGCACAGGACGCGUCUAGAGAUAGCGUCUGCUG